RNAcentral lists this ribosomal RNA (846 nucleotides) under Teleopsis pallifacies. RNAcentral's name for it is "eukaryotic LSU rRNA". It matches the Rfam family "Eukaryotic large subunit ribosomal RNA", at positions 1958 to 2655 of the family's 3401-position model. Lineage: Eukaryota; Metazoa; Arthropoda; Insecta; Diptera; Diopsidae. The record is from RNAcentral.
AUAUAGAGAUUUUCGGAUUUUGUUCACCGGAUAGUAGUUACAUAGCCAAUUGUGGAACUUUCUUGCUAAAAUUUUUCAAGUUAUAGUCUUUAGGGAUUAUAUUCUUGUUUAAUUAUAACGAUUAUCAAUUAACAAUCAAUUCAGAACUGGCACGGACUUGGGGAAUCCGACUGUCUAAUUAAAACAAAGCAUUGUGAUGGCCCUAGCGGGUGUUGACACAAUGUGAUUUCUGCCCAGUGCUCUGAAUGUCAAAGUGAAGAAAUUCAAGUAAGCGCGGGUAAACGGCGGGAGUAACUAUGACUCUCUUAAGGUAGCCAAAUGCCUCGUCAUCUAAUUAGUGACGCGCAUGAAUGGAUUAACGAGAUUCCUUCUGUCCCUAUCUACUAUCUAGCGAAACCACAGCCAAGGGAACGGGCUUGGAAUAAUUAGCGGGGAAAGAAGACCCUAUUGAGCUUGACUCUAAUCUGGCAGUGUAAGGAGACAUAAGAGGUGUAGAAUAAGUGGGAGAUAUAUAGAAAUUUAUUUUUAUAUAUCGCCAAUGAAAUACCACUACUCUUAUUGUUUCCUUACUUACUUGAUUAAAUGGAACGUGUAUCAUUGCUUAGCCAUAUUAAGGAUCUAUUUUCAAUAGAUCUUAUGGUAUUGGGUCUUGAUGCAAGCUUCUUGAUCAAAGUAUCACGAGUUUGUUAUAUAAUUGUAAACAAAAUUUAAUGAAAAUAAUUGUAUUUCAUACAUUUAUUGUUAAUUAAAAUUUGGUAUAACUCCAACACUCAGGUAUGAUCCAAUUCAAGGACAUUGCCAGGUGGGGAGUUCGACUGGGGCGGUACAUCUCUCAAAUAAUAACGG